UACGGGGGGGGCAAGCGUUGUUCGGAAUUACUGGGCGUAAAGGGCUCGUAGGCGGCCAACUAAGUCGGACGUGAAAUCCCCAGGCUCAACCUGGGAACUGCGUCUGAUACUGGAUGGCUUGAAUCCGGGAGAGGGAUGCAGAAUUCCAGGUGUAGCGGUGAAAUACGUAGAUAUCAGGAGGAAUACCGGUGGCGAAGGCGACUACCUGGACCAAUAUUGACGCUGAGGAACGAAAGUGCGGGGAUCAAACAGG
This 253-nucleotide ribosomal RNA is filed under the name uncultured bacterium. Its description in RNAcentral is "partial 16S ribosomal RNA". It matches the Rfam family "Bacterial small subunit ribosomal RNA", at positions 524 to 776 of the family's 1533-position model. The record is from RNAcentral.